AUUGAACGCUGGCGGCAGGCCUAACACAUGCAAGUCGAGCGGAUGAAGGGUGCUUGCUCCUGGAUUCAGCGGCGGACGGGUGAGUAAUGCCUAGGAAUCUGCCUGGUAGUGGGGGAUAACGUCCGGAAACGGGCGCUAAUACCGCAUACGUCCUGAGGGAGAAAGUGGGGGAUCUUCGGACCUCACGCUAUCAGAUGAGCCUAGGUCGGAUUAGCUAGUUGGUGGGGUAAAGGCCUACCAAGGCGACGAUCCGUAACUGGUCUGAGAGGAUGAUCAGUCACACUGGAACUGAGACACGGUCCAGACUCCUACGGGAGGCAGCAGUGGGGAAUAUUGGACAAUGGGCGAAAGCCUGAUCCAGCCAUGCCGCGUGUGUGAAGAAGGUCUGCGGAUGGUAAAGCACUUUAAGUUGGGAGGAAGGGCAGUAAGUUAAUACCUUGCUGUUGUGACGAUACCAACAGAAUAAGCACCGUCUAACUGCG
RNAcentral lists this ribosomal RNA (482 nucleotides) under uncultured bacterium. RNAcentral's name for it is "partial 16S ribosomal RNA". It matches the Rfam family "Bacterial small subunit ribosomal RNA", at positions 30 to 505 of the family's 1533-position model. The record is from RNAcentral.